GAGCUGGCUUUAGCUCAGUAGUUCCUUUGAAUCACUUGCCAACCACUCCUGCUUGCAAGGGUGGUUUGAGAUCCGAGGGUGCCCUCCAGCUCUAUA
Molecule: vault RNA, 96 nt
Filed under: Myotis brandtii (Brandt's bat)
Lineage: Eukaryota; Metazoa; Chordata; Mammalia; Chiroptera; Vespertilionidae
Rfam family: Vault RNA
About the family: This family of RNAs are found as part of the enigmatic vault ribonucleoprotein complex. The complex consists of a major vault protein (MVP), two minor vault proteins (VPARP and TEP1), and several small untranslated RNA molecules.
Source: Rfam by way of RNAcentral